GGGAGUUCCCCUACACACGUGCUCUGCCUGCUGCCAUGUAAGACGUGACUUUGUUCCUUCUUCACCUUCCGCCAUGAUUGUGAGGCCUCCCCAGCUAUGUGGAACUAGAUGGGCUUCACUUUGUUGCCCAGGCUGGUCUCCAACUCCUGGCCUCCAGUGAUCCUCCUGCCUUGGCCUCCCAAAGUGCUGGGAUGACAGGCAUGAGCCCUCACACCUGCCCUAACAUUUUGAUGGAUGAAGCCAAAUUGCCCUUCCAGAAGCUUCUGCCCAUGCCCAGGCACAUUGACAUGAGGGCCUCGAAUCCUGCCUGAGCUCCGUGAAGUCCGCAGUGACUUGAGUUGGCGUGAGUGGAAACCUCUGUCUCCACAGUGAAACGUCACUGACUACUGGAAAUUAGGCGAAUGCAUUAGUGCACAGCAGAG
Long non-coding RNA from Pongo pygmaeus (Bornean orangutan), 422 nucleotides. RefSeq lists it as uncharacterized. The record is from RefSeq and is a predicted model, not a curated record. NCBI's taxonomy places the organism in Eukaryota, Metazoa, Chordata, Mammalia, Primates, Hominidae. The transcript has 3 exons.